UUGGGAGGAGUAACUCAAGAAAUCUAGUUGCUUUUAACACCCACUUAAAGAAGAAAGAGAUUGAUGGAUGCGUAUCAACCGAUCAAAAGAAGCGGAUCAAGCUUGCAGUUCCUGAAUAAUCCGUUUGAAGACACUACGUAUACGAAGGUGUUCGUUGGAGGACUUGCAUUCUGGGAGAUCAAAAGGAUAUGGAUUUGUUUGUAUGAAUUGUGGAACAUAUUGGAACGUUUGCGGUUGAUUUGAAAGAAGAAAAACGACAACAAUACACGGAUUGAGGUAUUAUACGCAAUCUGCAGAUGAAAUACGCCAUCGGGGUCACUAUAUUCGCGGUUGAUUUGAAAGAGCAAAAAUGGCCCAAAGAGCCUUUGUUAUAACUUGGGCACUAGUUCUUCUUCACUUGUUCGCAAAGCAAAAAUGGCCCAAAGAGCCUUUGUUAUAACUUGGGCACUAGUUCUUCUUUACUUGUUAUAACUUUGAGCCCAACCCUUACCAACCCAUGAAUUUAAUCUUCCUAUACUAAUAAACAAAAAUCUUUUUUGGACACGUGUUACUCUCUGGUGCCUCCUC
Molecule: long non-coding RNA, 567 nt
Filed under: Helianthus annuus (common sunflower)
Lineage: Eukaryota; Viridiplantae; Streptophyta; Magnoliopsida; Asterales; Asteraceae
Description: sRNA HanXRQr2_Chr15g0697921
Source: RNAcentral